Molecule: ribosomal RNA, 494 nt
Filed under: uncultured bacterium
Lineage: Bacteria
Description: partial 16S ribosomal RNA
Rfam family: Bacterial small subunit ribosomal RNA
Source: RNAcentral
GACGAACGCUGGCGGCGUGCUUAACACAUGCAAGUCGAACGGUGAAGCGCCUUCCUUUUUGGUGGGUGUGGAUGAGUGGCGAACGGGUGAGUAACACGUGAGUAACCUGCCCCCUUCUUCUGGAUAACCGCAUGAAAGUGUGGCUAAUACGGGAUAUUCUGGGUCUGUCGCAUGAUGGGUCUUGGAAAGAUAUUGUUUCGGUGGGGGAUGGGCUCGCGGCCUAUCAGCUUGUUGGUGGGGUGAUGGCCUACCAAGGCGGUGACGGGUAGCCGGCCUGAGAGGGUGGACGGUCACACUGGGACAGAGACACGGCCCAGACUCCUACGGGAGGCAGCAGUGGGGAAUAUUGCACAAUGGGCGCAAGCCUGAUGCAGCGACGCCGCGUGAGGGAGGGAGGCCUGCGGGUUGUGAACCUCUUUCGCCAGUGAAGCAGGCCUGCCUCGUUUGUGGGUGGGUUGACGGUAGCUGGAUAAGAAGCGCCGGCUAACUACGUG